RNAcentral lists this ribosomal RNA (468 nucleotides) under uncultured bacterium. RNAcentral's name for it is "partial 16S ribosomal RNA". It matches the Rfam family "Bacterial small subunit ribosomal RNA", at positions 28 to 507 of the family's 1533-position model. The record is from RNAcentral.
GACGAACGCUGGCGGCGUGCUUAACACAUGCAAGUCGAACGGAACUGCCCUGCUUAUGUGGGGUGCUCUGGUGGACACCGGGUGAGUAACCCGUGAGUACCCUGUCCUUGACUUUGGGAUAACUUCAGGCAACUGGGGCUAAUACCGGAUAGGAGCACCUGCUGCUUGGUGGGGGUUGGAAAGUUUCGGUGGUUGGGGAUGGACUCGCGGCUUAUCAGCUUGUUGGUGGGGUAGUGUCUUACCAAGGCUUUGACGCGUAGCCGGGCUGAGAUGGUGACCGGCCACGUUGGGUCUGAGAUACGGCCCAGACUCCUACGGUACGCAGCGGAGGGGAAUAUAGCAUUGUGGGCGGAAGCCUGAUGCAACGACGCCGCGUGCGGGAUAACGGCCUUCUGGUUGGAUACCGCAUUUGUCUGUGACGAAACGUGAGUGACGGUAAUGGGUAAAGAAGCACCGGCUAACUACGUG